This 460-nucleotide ribosomal RNA is filed under the name uncultured bacterium. RNAcentral describes it as "partial 16S ribosomal RNA". It matches the Rfam family "Bacterial small subunit ribosomal RNA", at positions 338 to 795 of the family's 1533-position model. The record is from RNAcentral.
ACUACGGGAGGCAGCAGUGAGGAAUAUUGGUCAAUGGGCGCGAGCCUGAACCAGCCAAGUCGCGUGAGGGAUGAAGGUUCUAUGGAUCGUAAACCUCUUUUAUAAGGGAAUAAAGUGUGGGACGUGUCCUAUUUUGUAUGUACCUUAUGAAUAAGGAUCGGCUAAUUCCGUGCCAGCAGCCGCGGUAAUACGGAGGAUCCGAGCGUUAUCCGGAUUUAUUGGGUUUAAAGGGUGCGUAGGCGGCCGUUUAAGUCAGCGGUGAAAGUAUGUGGCUAAACCAUAGAAUUGCCGUUGAAACUGGGGGGCUUGAGUAUGUUUGAGGCAGGAGGAAUGCGUGGUGUAGCGGUGAAAUGCUUAGAUAUCACGCAGAACCCCGAUUGCGAAGGCAGCCUGCCAAGCCAUGACUGACGCUGAUGCACGACAGCGUGGGGAUCAAACAGGAUUAGAUAACCUGGUAGUG